GAAAGCAAAGAUAUAUAAGAAGAGAGAGAAUUAUUAAGGGGAUCAACGAUCUUAUUUGUUUUUCGUUAUCCUAAAAAAUUCCUACAAUUUGUCCUGAAAAGCUGCAAAGAAAACAAAAUCCACAGUAAGUCAGAAUUUUCCCAAUUAAAAAUUUACUACCCCAGUACUGCUACUACAAAAAUUAACAUGGCUAUCAUCAAAACCCCAUAGUUCAUAUACUUGCCUUUAC
Molecule: long non-coding RNA, 229 nt
Filed under: Nicotiana benthamiana
Lineage: Eukaryota; Viridiplantae; Streptophyta; Magnoliopsida; Solanales; Solanaceae
Description: long non-coding RNA (NBEN_LNC032362)
Source: RNAcentral